CAGGACGAACGCUGGCGGCGUGCUUAAACACAUGCAAAGUCGCGGGGGGUGAGCAAAUCACUCACCGGCGAAACGGGUGCGUAACACGUGAGCGACCUGCCCACUUGUGGGGUAUAGCCGGCCCAACGGCCGGGUAAUCCCGCAUACGCUUCUCUGGCUGCAUGGCCGGGGGAGGAAAGCCGUAAGGCGCAAGUGGAGGGGCUCGCGGCCUAUCAGCUAGUUGGCGGGGUAACGGCCCACCAAGGCGAUGACGGGUAGCUGGUCUGAGAGGAUGGCCAGCCACAUUGGGACUGAGAUACGGCCCAGACUCCUACGGGAGGCAGCAGUGGGGAAUCUUGCGCAAUGGUCGAAAGACUGACGCAGCGACGCCGCGUGCGGGAGGAAGCCCUUCGGGGUGUAAACCGCUGUUACUCGGGACGAACUUCUCGAUUCAUCGAGAUUGACGGUACCGGGGGGAGGAAGCACCGGGCUAACUCUGUGCCCAGCAGCCGCGGUAA
RNAcentral lists this ribosomal RNA (497 nucleotides) under uncultured bacterium. RNAcentral describes it as "bacterial SSU rRNA". It matches the Rfam family "Bacterial small subunit ribosomal RNA", at positions 25 to 523 of the family's 1533-position model. The record is from RNAcentral.